Molecule: ribosomal RNA, 448 nt
Filed under: uncultured bacterium
Lineage: Bacteria
Description: bacterial SSU rRNA
Rfam family: Bacterial small subunit ribosomal RNA
Source: RNAcentral
CUCCCAGACUCCUACGGGAGGCAGCAGUGGGGAAUAUUGCACAAUGGGGGAAACCCUGAUGCAGCGACGCCGCGUGAAGGAAGAAGUAUCUCGGUAUGUAAACUUCUAUCAGCAGGGAAGAAAACAGACGGUACCUGACUAAGAAGCCCCGGCUAACUACGUGCCAGCAGCCGCGGUAAUACGUAGGGGGCGAGCGUUAUCCGGAAUUACUGGGUGUAAAGGGAGCGUAGACGGCGAAGUAAGCCUGAAGUGGAAGCCCGCGGCCCAACCGCGGAACUGCUUUGGGAACUGUUUUGCUGGAGUAUGGGAGGGGUAAGCGGAAUUCCUGGUGUAGUGGUGAAAUGCGUAGAUAUCAGGAGGAACACCGGUGGCGAAGGCGGCUUACUGGACCAUGACUGACGUUGAGGCUCGAAAGCGUGGGGAGCGAACAGGAUUAGAUACCCGUGUA